Molecule: small nuclear RNA, 184 nt
Organism: Dermacentor andersoni
Lineage: Eukaryota; Metazoa; Arthropoda; Arachnida; Ixodida; Ixodidae
Product: U2 spliceosomal RNA
Source: RefSeq, a predicted model, not a curated record
AUGGCCGAGGCAGGUCGAAGUGUAGUAUGUGUUGUUAUCAGCCUAAUAUAUGUGAUACGGGUUCUAUUUGGACCCAAGUUAUCUAACUUGUUUUUUUGCAACUUGGCGGAGAGCUCGAAGCCUGCUUCACCUCCGCCGCAGGUUGAUCCGACAUUGCACAAUCUUCGGGAUCGACCCACAGUUU